GGUACGUGGGCCUCUGACUGUUGUGGCCUCUCCCGUUGCGGAGCACAGGCUCCGGACGCACAGCCUCAGCGGCCAUGGCUCACGGGUCCAGCCGCUCCACGGCAUGUGGGAUCUUCCCGGACCAGGGCACGAACCCGUGUCCCCUGCAUCGGCAGGCGGACUCUCAACCACUGCGCCACCAGGGAAGCCCCUAGAAAUUGCUUUUUUGAUGCCAAUGUUAAAUCUCUGCUAUAUACUUGUUUUCUAGUGACCUCCGUUUUUUGUGUGUUUUUUUUUUUUAAUAAAGUGGGACAUAGGAAGAAAAACCAAACCAAAACAAGACUAAUUACUAAAAGGUUCUUAAUAGUUGAGUUCCAGUUUUACUACUUCCUAUACAGGGAACUCUGAACAUUGGUGCCAUUGAUUUUUUCUGUCUUGCUUCUUACCCCCUCACCCAAGAGAGUUAAAAGUGCAAUGUUGGUUAAGGAGAAAAUAUUGAAAGCAAGCAAGUCUGUAACAUUGAUGUAAGGAGAAAAAAAUCACAGGUCUCUGUAGCAUAAAUGCCUAGUUUUAAUUACGCAGGUGAAGUUUUCCUUUAAAUUAGACUGCCAAAAUGGAAACUCAGAAUAGUAUACUAGAACAGUCUAGGAGUCCCUGCAGAGGGCAGAAGCACAGAGCCUUGUGGUUUUUUCCACCCAGAGUUCAGAUGAGCACUUUCUUCAACUCAGAUAGAUUCUCUAUCUUAUUUUCCAGCCUGGUGCAGUGGAAAAAGCACUCAUUUGGAUCAGAAGGACUCGAGUCCCUAUCUCUCUCUACAAAUUCUUAAAUAUUUGCUAAUAUUAAUAUUUAUUCCAUAAUACUGCAGUGAGAUUUAAUACUAUAACAUUAGAUAAUCCCAUACAUGGAGUCUCAGUAGGUAUGUGGUCCCUCUACCAGCCCACUUAACCAUCUAAUAUAGAACAAUAAAUAUAAUACUGGUUUCUAUUUCUCAUCAUGUUGUUGUCUAUUAAGAAUAAGAACCUCAAAAAAAAAAAAAAAAAAGAAAGACCACCUCAAGAGAUGGUCUUGUUCAGCCAUUGUGCUCUACUAGAAGAGGCAUCAUCUCCAGUUUUACAGAUACAACCACUUAACAAAUACAACCAAGACAUAAAAAAGAAUUAAUUAACUUGUCCAAGGUCAAGCAUAUCUUUCUAUUCUAGAUUGUCAGGAGUUCAGUGCCAUUCUUGAGAGGGUUGUCAUUGGGAGAGAUUGAUUUGGCUCAUAAAUCCUGAGAAGCUAAAUGCAAUGAGGGGAAGUUUCGGACAAGGGCCAGCCUGAGCUCAGUUGUAGCUCUUCUGAACUCAAGACACAGAAUGGGAAAAUUGACACCAAGGUGGUCGCCCAGGGAAUAUGCUCUGAGAGGUGUCAAGGAAGACCCUCUGGCAAAAUGUAUCCUAAGUGCCAUUGUUUGGAAUUUCAUAAGAGUUCCAUCUUUUGGGUUAAGCUGGGCCCUUAACUUUUUUCUUCUUUUUUCUAUUCAUUCAAGGAUUGUUCAUUGAGCAUUAAUAAUGUACUAAUGCAGUAUUAGGGAAUGGAACAAAAGAAAAUAAAACUGGGUCAGCUAUUAAGAUGUUCACAGUCUAAUGAAGGAGACAGAGAAGAAUAAUAAUGACAAAAGUAGCUAACAUUUUCCGCAUGCCAGACACUGCAAAAUAAUUUAUAGCUAUUUUCUCUCCUAACUCUCAUAUCAGACCUAAGAAUUAAAAGCUAUUUAAAACCCCAUUUUCCAGAGGAAAAUGGAAUCCUGAAGGGGUAGACAAUAUUUUAAGGAAACUGGCCUAGGUUAAGUCCAUGGGAAUAAAGAUGGAGAGGAAAGGAUAAAGAAUCAACCAAGACUGUUUCCUAAUCCUUUACUGGUUGCUGUUUCUAAUAUCAUUUGCAAGUUUCUCCUCUUCUCACCAACUUUCUGAUGUUGGAAAGUCCCAGGGCUCACUCCUUAUUUUUUACUUGUCUAUUCUUAUGUUCUUGCUUAGUGAACUUAAUUUAAUCCUAUAACUGUAAAAACCAUCCAUAUGCUGACGAUUCCAAAAUUAAUUUCUCUAGCCCAACCUCUUUCUCAUACUCCAAACUUAUAUAUGCAACUGCCUGCAUAAAACCUACACUUACUUAGAUAUCUAGUAGACACCUCAAACUUAAUAUGUUCAAAGAUGAACUCAGCUUCCCCUAGACCUGCUCCACCUACCCCAGUUUAUAACUCUAUCCUUCUAGCUGUUCAGGACAAAAAUCUUGGAGUCAUUCCUGACUCCUCUUGUCCUCAUUCCCCAUAUUUCAAUCUGUCAAGAAAUCUCGUUGAAGAGUAACACCGCCAGUUAAUAAGACACUUUGUCACCGUGUAUAUUCCGAUAUGAUGCAUAGAGAAAGAAAUACAUCUUGUCUGUCAUAUUUUUUUUGCCAAAAAUGCAAUCCAAUUAUGAGAAAAUAUCAGACAAACCUAUAUUGUGGGACAUUCUACAAAAUAACUGACCAUUACUCAUCGAGAAUGCCAAGGUCGUGAAACACAAGGAAAUACUGAGGAACUGUGUGUCACAGAUUGGAGGAAAUUAUGAAGACACAAGUACUAAAUGCAGUGUGGGAUCCUGGCACAGAGAAAUGACAUUGAGAGAAACCGGAGAAAGUUGAAUGAAGUUUGUAAUUUAGUUAAUCGUAUUGUAUCAUUGUUAAUUUCCUGGUUUUAAAUAAUAACAACUGCAAUUAAGUAAGUUGUAAAUAUUUGGGGAAGCUGAGUGAUGGGUAUAUGGGAACUCUCUCUUUUUUUUUUGCAACAUUUCUGUAAGUCUAAAAUUAUUUCAAAAUGAAGGGAAAAAGAAGACCAAGACUAAAAAGAAAAAGAAAUCUUGUUGGACCUUCCAUUGGAAUUUAUGUAGAAUCUGGUCACUUCUUCUAACCUCUGUUGAAACCACUUUGAUUCAAGAUAUAAUUAUCUCUCACUUGGAUUAUUGUAAUAACCUUCUAAUUGGUCUUUUUGUUUCUGUUCCUGCUUCCUCAGUUUCCAGUGCAGUAGCCGGAAUAAUUCUCUUCUAAGUAAAAACAUGAAAUCCUACAUUUUUUCCACGUUGGACUUUGGUAAAAGUCAAAGUUCUUACAUGGAAGCCCAAGACCUCAUACCCUCUGGCCCUCAGUUGCCCCUCUGGCCUCCUCUGGUACCACUCUCCCACCCUUUCACUUGCUUCAGCCAUACUGACCACUUUGCUGUUCUGUGAACAGACCAGGAACAUUCUCAUUGGACAACCUGUGCACUGGCUGUUCCCUCUGCCAGGGAACAUUCUUCCUCCAGAUACCAUCAUGGCUAUGCCCCUGUGCUUGAAUAGCACAUCUCAGUGAGGCCUACCUGCCCUCUUUGUUAAAAGUUUCAACCCCGACUGCCCACUCAUGUGUCACUCCCAAUCCUCUUAAUUCUACUUAAAAUUUUUUUCCCAUUACACUUCUCAUUCUCUAAGAGACUGUUUAAGUUACUUAUCUGUCAUCAUCAUUGUCAUCGUUAUCAUUGUCAUCAUUAUCACCAUUAUUAGGAAGGGUCCGGUCUGUCAAAACUUGAAUGUAAACUCUAGGAGGGCAGGGCUCUUUUCCCACUUUGCUUGCUGAUAUAUCCCAAGAGCCUAGAAACAUUCCUGGCACGGAAUAGGCAUUCCAUAGAUACUUGUUGAUAAACUGAAUAGAAGGUAGAAUAGACAAGAAUUGAACAUUGCUUUGAUGGUAAAGGAAAGGAUAGGGUGUAUCGAAAUUCUAUGACUAUGGAUCUGGGUUAUGGGAAGGAAGACUGCUCCACUAGUCAGUACAGAAAGACAGAUUGACAAUGGAAGAUAUCGGUUGACUAUUCCUGUGCACAUGUCCAACAUAUUGUUCAAUGUGUAGCUCUGCAACUCAGGGUAGAGAUCUGGGGUGGAGAGAGAAAUUUGGAAGUCUUCUCCUGUAAUGGUAGGCUUGAAAAGAACGAGAAAAGGAAGGUCUCUUGCAGUUUUGAAUAUCCUUGUUUAUAAUGACCAGGUCCUCACAGGAGGAAGUCUGAGUGAUGUGGAGCUCUGGAAGGCUGGGGUGGGUGUGGAUGGAGAAGAUCACAAAGGAACGUGACUGGGUGCCUGAGACACACUUUACCUACUUCCCAAUUUGACAUAAGGCCAAAGGUUGAGGGAGGGGAAGGAUUAGAGAAUGCACAUAGCAGUUCCUUGUCAUUUAAGGUAAAGCAGAACCAAAAGGUGAUAGGGCAGAACCCCUAAUGCCUUACCCAAAAUGGAGCAAAUCAGACUUAACAUAUGUGCAAUUUUUGUAUUAUCACUGAGCUGCAGUUAGGGGAGGGUGUGGGGACACUAAUGAGGUGUGGGGGGAGGAUCAUGGCCUAGUUCUUAAUCUCCUAAACUUUAACAGCCCAAGGAGCACUCUGUGGUGUUUCUCUCAAGUCUCUCAGGCUAUCACCUUGUCCCUUCUUCAGAGCAUAAUUUUGUCAUGAAAGCUUUCACUUGGCAAGAAUCCGAUUCAUCAAGAAAGAUAGAACUCUGUGCUUGCACGCUUCAAGCAGAGGGAAAGUCUACUUUGGCAAGCUUUACAAGGAAAGAGAGAAAAGAAAAUAAGAGCCAUAAAUCAACUGGAGGCCAGAAUACAGGAUUAAAGAUACUCGAUCCAUUUCAGAAAGGACUUCUGCUUGCAUAUGUUUACCUAAUGACCCUUUCUUCCCCUAUCGGCCUGUAGAUCCUCCCUUCGUUUGAGCUGGGCAAGUGACAUCUCACGUCACAGGCUGCCUCGGGGAAAGAGGAGACUGCAUGGAGACUGGCGUAGGUUUACUCCUCUGUCACCCCUAUGGGUUAAGAACAGCUCUACACCCCAUCAUGAGUCACCCAGCCUUGUGGCUGACAGGUCUUGGUGCUCCAGCCGGGUGUCAGGCCUGUGCCUCUGAGGAGGGAAAGCUGAGUUCAGUACAUGGGUCUACCAGAGACCUCCCCGCUCCAUGUAAUAUCAAACAGUGAAGGUUCUCCCAGAGAUCUCCAUGUCAAUACUAAGACCCAGCUCCACUCAAUGACCAGCAAGCUACAGUGCUGGACACCCUAUGCCAAACAACUAGCAAGACAGGAACACAACCCCACCCAUUAGCAGAGAGGCUGCCUAAAAUCAUAAUAAGGUCACAGGCACCCCAAAACACACCACUGGAUGCGGUCCUGCCCACCAGAAAGACAAGAUCCAGCCUCAUCCACCAGAACACAGGCACCAAUCCCAUCCACCAGGAAACCUACACAACCCAGUGAACCAGACUUACCCACAGGGGGCAGACACCAAAAACAACAGUAACUGCAAACCUGCAGCCUGCAAAAAGGAGACCCCAAACACAGUAAGUUAAGUAACAUGAGAAGACAGAGAAACACACACCAGAUGUAGGAGCAAGGUAAAAACCCAUCAGACCAAACAAAUGAAGAGGACAUAGGUAGUCUACCUGAAAAAGAAUUCAGAGUAAUGAUAGUAAGAUGAUCCAAAAUCCUGGAAAUAAGAUGGAGAAAAUAAAAGAAACGUUUAACAAGGACCUAGGAGAACUAAAGGGCAAACAAACAGUGAUGAACAACACAAUAGAUGAAAUUAAAAAUUCUCUAGAAGGAAUCCAUAGCAGAAUAACUGAGGCAGAAGAACGGAUAAGGGACCUGGAAGAUAAAAUAGUGGAAAUAACUAUGGCAGA
This is a long non-coding RNA of Orcinus orca (killer whale), 5674 nucleotides long. RefSeq lists it as uncharacterized. NCBI's taxonomy places the organism in Eukaryota, Metazoa, Chordata, Mammalia, Artiodactyla, Delphinidae. The record is from RefSeq and is a predicted model, not a curated record. The transcript is spliced from 3 exons.